CCUACGGGCGGCAGCAGUGAGGAAUAUUGGUCAAUGGGCGCGAGCCUGAACCAGCCAAGUAGCGUGAAGGAUGACUGCCCUACGGGUUGUAAACUUCUUUUAUAAAGGAAUAAAGUGAGGCACGUGUGCCUUUUUGUAUGUACUUUAUGAAUAAGGAUCGGCUAACUCCGUGCCCGCAGCCGCGGUAAUACGGAGGAUACGAGCGUUAUCCGGUUUUAUUGGGUGUAAAGGGAGCGUAGAUGGGUGGUUAAGUCAGUUGUGAACGUUUGCGGCUCAACCGUAAAAUUGCAAUUGAUACUGGCAGCCUUGAGUACAGGUGAGGUAGGCGGAAUUCGUGGUGUAGCGGUGAAAUGCGUAGAUAUCACGAAGAACUCCGAUGGCGAAGGCAGCCUACUAAACUGCCACUGACAUUGAGGCUCGAAAGUGUGGGUAUCAAACAGGAUUAGAUACCCGUGUAGUC
Molecule: ribosomal RNA, 460 nt
Filed under: uncultured bacterium
Lineage: Bacteria
Description: partial 16S ribosomal RNA
Rfam family: Bacterial small subunit ribosomal RNA
Source: RNAcentral